UGUAUUUCGGUGAUUCGUGCCAAGAUGUGCUGAGCACCUUGGGAUCUCCUCACAAAGUUUUCUACAAGUCAGAAGAUAAGAUGAAAAUCCAUUCGCCUUCUCCUCAUAAGCAAGUACCUUCAAAGUGCAAUGACUACUUUUUCAACUACUUCACGCUUGGAGUGGAUAUCCUUUUUGAUGCAAACACCCACAAAGUGAAGAAAUUUGUUCUGCAUACGAAUUACCCGGGUCAUUAUAACUUCAACAUUUAUCACCGCUGUGAAUUCAAGAUCCCACUAGCAAUUAAACGAGGUAAGAAGUAAUACAGCCUGGAAAAGCUUGAAUGCUGAUAGGAAUGUGUGAUGACUUUGCAGGCAUGCUUAGUAGUGAGACAAAGUCCAGAGUUGUGCAGUAACAGAUAAGUGGACUGACAUCUUCGGGUUCAAGUUAAUCCC
Molecule: non-coding RNA, 434 nt
Organism: Anolis sagrei ordinatus
Lineage: Eukaryota; Metazoa; Chordata; Lepidosauria; Squamata; Anolidae
Source: RefSeq, a predicted model, not a curated record